This 117-nucleotide ribosomal RNA is filed under the name Dehalococcoidia bacterium. The record is from RNAcentral. Lineage: Bacteria; Bacillati; Chloroflexota; Dehalococcoidia.
UCUGGUGGUUAGAGCGGGGUGGAACCACCCGUUCCCAUUCCGAACACGGCCGUGAAACGCCCCAGCACCGACGAUACUUUGCUCGAGAGGGUAUGGGAAAAUAGGUCACUGCCAGGA